This is a non-coding RNA of Camelina sativa (false flax), 1051 nucleotides long. Lineage: Eukaryota; Viridiplantae; Streptophyta; Magnoliopsida; Brassicales; Brassicaceae. The record is from RefSeq and is a predicted model, not a curated record.
UUAGAAAAAUCAACAACAAAAACUUAGAAUAAUAGUCUCAGAGGAGAAUAGUCUUGAAGACAAUGACACAUACAUAUGUUUCUUAGCAAAUAGGCAAAAAUCAAUCUUUCUUUCUCUAAGACUUUAACUCUGCAUUCAAUUUAAAAAAGUCAUAGGAAUGGUAACCAAGGGAAAUAGAGUUGUAGCCACAAACCUAACAACCUCUUAGGAAAACCAAGCCGACCUAAUUAAUUAAUGUUUAUGGGACACCAAACUAAAAGUAGGAAAGAUAUUUUUAAUGAAAACUAUAUACGAGAGGAAAAGUGAAGGAAAAAGAAAGGCUUGGGGUCUAGUAUCUUUUACUUUGCUUGCUCCAUCUCUCCUCUCCUCUCCACUAGAUGGAUCCCAUUAAUAAAAAGAAAGUGAUGAUCUCAGAGUUUAGACUAAAAGAGAAAUUGACUACAAAGUCGUUUGCGUAUAAACUAAGAAAGAUUCAGUAGCCAUACACCAAAAAAACUCAAGUCUGGUAAAGCAGGGGCCUACAGAUGCAGAAAGAGCUAAUAAAUUAAGCUGUGCAAACUUAUUUCAUACCUGCCCCCAAAGCAAAGAGUUAGUUACUUUCAGCAAGCAAAAUAGGAUGUGGAAUUUGCGGCGGGUUUAGGUAGAGAAUUAAAGAAAGAUUCUUGUUCUAGUGUUAUCUUACAACUUGAUUCUUUGCUUUGCUAUUGGAAUGUCAAGACUUAAGGGUAAAAAAGAAAAGGUAACAUGACUCAUAUAGCUUUUAGAUCAAUCAAAAUUUCCAUCUACAAGUAGAGAAACCAAUCAAACCUCACCAAACAUGAACGAUUAAACAAAAGAAAAAGAAAAAAAGUCAGAAUUCUCCAGAAAACCGCAUAAACCAAAGAAUAAAUAUUAAAGUAAAGGAAUAAAGAAGAGUAUCUAUCUAUCCAUCCUUGUAGUAGUAUACUGUGACGAACCCCUAGGCAAAAUUUUGAAUUCCCCCAGUAACAAUAAAAAAAAAAAACCUUCAAAAGGAAGCAAAAAGGGAAACAAAAGAGGUAAAAAAAAAAAA